AGCCAGCAGAAAGUGAGUCUGCACUGACUGAUUAAAAUAACAAAAAGUUAAUAGCUAAUCUAUUCUUUCCUGUGACAUACCUUUGUUAAUCCAUUUAAUCAGAUCCAGCCCUUACUGAAAGAGUGAGCAUUUCAAUUGAGAGCUAUGGGAGGCAAGGAGGAUGAUGGAAUGGAUAAUGCCUGGUGAUAAAAUGAAGAGGAGUAUAAAGUAACAUCUGCAAGGAGAAGAGAAUUGAUUACAGCCUGGAAGAAGAAUUAAAGUCUAAGGACUCAUCAAAUGAUACGGAAGAUAGAAGGACCUAAAUUAUCACUGCUGAUUUCAUAAGGAGUAAUUUUAGGAUGGGAACACUGCCUUGAAAAGGACUGACAGAAACCUCCAUAACCACAACUGCUGUAGUUACUAUUGUGCUAUGAAGUAGGUUCCAGCCAGAUCCUCCCACCCACUUUCAACAAACAGGUGUCAGAAUGCAGUAGGUUUCAGGGGUGUGAGAAGUAAGGCAGAACAUGUAUACAAAACUUUUAUGCUGUGAUACAGAAUUAAAGUCCUUGUUUGGAUCUCUUAGUUUAAUUGGUCUCUUUAUUUCCCCUCUCUGUGACCUAAAGGUGACAUGGUUCAUUCCCGUCACUUUUCAUUCACUUUACAAAUCUUGCCUCACUUUUUUAGUAUUGAUUUCCUUAUGAUGCUCCAUUUUGCCCAGGAGCUAAAACUGGGAGCAAUUUAAUGACAAAUUAUUACACAGAUCUCAUUAAAAUAUUUUCUGUUGCAUUGCAAAUCAUUAUUUCUUAUGCACGAAAGGCAUACUUCAUUAACGUACCCCAUAUGUUCUUAUUUUUAGAAAAUCAUAUGGUGUUAGAAAUUCCAUCUGUAGUACUAAUAUGAUAGUUUUGCUUAACUAAAUGAUAUUUGUUUAACCAAAUUGUUCAUAUGCCAUGGUACAAUUUUUCCGGCAUGGAUUUAAUUAUAAAAUUACAGACACCAAUCUUCCUAUUGCUAUAGGAUGAAGACUGACAAACAUGUUAUUGAAGAAACACAAUAUAAUUUCACAUCAUAUUGUGCUAAUUAGUUUGGAUAUAACAAAAAUCUAUGUGCAAAAUAUACUGCUGGUACUGUGAGUGCAAUUGAGAAGAGGCGUAUAACUUCUGGAGAUUAGAUCACCUUGUCACCCCUAUAUCGGAGAGGGUAUGAGCAUUCAAACUACAGAAAUUGGGAAGUGUUAUUCUUAUGGUGUCCUCCUUGUAACUAUGCAUUUUCUGAAGCAUUUGUGAGCCCAACUUGACUUCAAAAUAAGGUACAUACAGGUGCUUGUUUUGAAAGGGUUCUUCGUCUAUUUAAAUUUGACAUCUACUCCGGUGGCUCAAUGUGUUAAAGCGCUGAGCUGCUGAACUUGCAGACCGAAAGGUCCCAGGUUCAAAUCCGGGGAGUGGACUGAGCGCCUGCUGUUAGCUCCAGCUUCUGCCAACCUAGCAGUUCGAAAACAAUCAAAUGUGAGUAGAUCAAUAAGUACCGCUCCGGCAGGAAGGUAACGGCGUUCCAUGCAGUCAUGCUGGCCACAUGAUCUUGGAGGUGUCUACGGACAACGCCGGCUCUUCAGCUUAGAAAUGGAGAUGAGUAUGAACCCUC
Long non-coding RNA from Anolis carolinensis (green anole), 1620 nucleotides. RefSeq lists it as uncharacterized. The record is from RefSeq and is a predicted model, not a curated record. The transcript is spliced from 5 exons. Lineage: Eukaryota; Metazoa; Chordata; Lepidosauria; Squamata; Anolidae.